RNAcentral lists this RNase P RNA (378 nucleotides) under Parenemella sanctibonifatiensis. Its description in RNAcentral is "Bacterial RNase P class A". It matches the Rfam family "Bacterial RNase P class A". From Rfam's summary of the family: Ribonuclease P (RNase P) is a ubiquitous endoribonuclease, found in archaea, bacteria and eukarya as well as chloroplasts and mitochondria. Its best characterised activity is the generation of mature 5'-ends of tRNAs by cleaving the 5'-leader elements of precursor-tRNAs. Cellular RNase Ps are ribonucleoproteins. The record is from Rfam by way of RNAcentral. Lineage: Bacteria; Bacillati; Actinomycetota; Actinomycetes; Propionibacteriales; Propionibacteriaceae.
CGAGUCGGCCGGGUGAUCGCGGCGCAAGUCGAGGAAAGUCCGGACUCCACAGAGCAGGGUGGUAGGUAACGCCUACCCGGGGCGACCCGCGGGCCAGUGCCACAGAGAACAGACCGCCCCGCAAGGGGUAAGGGUGAAACGGUGGUGCAAGAGACCACCAGCGCGUCAGGUGACUGGCGUGGCUCGGCAAACCCCACCCGGAGCAAGACCAAGAGGGCCGCUUCGGCGGCCUGCGGAGGCGUACGAGGGCUGCUCGCCCGAGCCUUCGGGUAGGUCGCAUCGCGUACGCGCGGGAGGCCGCCGGCGACGGCGGUCACAGAUGGAUGAUCACCGGCCCCGCAGGGGUCACAGAAUCCGGCUUACAGGCCGACUCGUUCC